Molecule: non-coding RNA, 28 nt
Filed under: Bombyx mori (domestic silkworm)
Lineage: Eukaryota; Metazoa; Arthropoda; Insecta; Lepidoptera; Bombycidae
Source: RNAcentral
UAUCAGAAGAAGUUGAUGAAGCAGCAUU